CAUCUUCGAGUGCAGCAAGGGCAGCAACAGCUGCUAGCCUUCCUCGUCUAUUACGUCACUAAUUUAACGUCAAAAUUCUUCCAAACACAACACAUGUAGUUCAAAACCAAUCAUUCGCACGAACAACCUGGCUCUGAUACCACUGUUGGGAAAUCUUGGGGACGACAUCACAUGCAUAGAGGAAGAACAAAAAAAAAAA
This 199-nucleotide long non-coding RNA is filed under the name Musa acuminata (dwarf banana). Its description in RNAcentral is "long non-coding RNA (MACU_LNC009632)". The record is from RNAcentral. Lineage: Eukaryota; Viridiplantae; Streptophyta; Magnoliopsida; Zingiberales; Musaceae.